Molecule: ribosomal RNA, 440 nt
Filed under: uncultured bacterium
Lineage: Bacteria
Description: partial 16S ribosomal RNA
Rfam family: Bacterial small subunit ribosomal RNA
Source: RNAcentral
CCUACGGGAGGCUGCAGUGGGGAAUAUUGCACAAUGGGGGAAACCCUGAUGCAGCAACGCCGCGUGGGUGAAGAAGUAUUUCGGUAUGUAAAGCCCUAUCAGCAGGGAAGAGAAUGACGGUACCUGACUAAGAAGCCCCGGCUAACUACGUGCCAGCAGCCGCGGUAAUACGUAGGGGGCAAGCGUUAUCCGGAUUUACUGGGUGUAAAGGGAGCGUAGACGGUUUUGCAAGUCUGAAGUGAAAGUCCGCGGCUCAACUGCGGAACGGCGUUGGAAACUGUGUAAUUGGAGUGCAGGAGAGGUAAGCGGAAUUCGUGGUGUAGCGGUGAAAUGCGUAGAGAUCAGGAGGAACACCGACGGCGAAGGCGGCUUACUGGACAGUAACUGACGUUGAGGCUCGAAAGCGUGGGGAGCAAACAGGAUUAGAUACCCGAGUAGUC